CCUACGGGUGGCUGCAGUGAGGAAUAUUGGUCAAUGGACGAGAGUCUGAACCAGCCAAGUAGCGUGAAGGAUGACUGCCCUAUGGGUUGUAAACUUCUUUUAUAAAGGAAUAAAACGAGGCACGUGUGCCUUUUUGCAUGUACUUUAUGAAUAAGGAUCGGCUAACUCCGUGCCAGCAGCCGCGGUAAUACGGAGGAUUCGAGCGUUAUCCGGAUUUAUUGGGUUUAAAGGGAGCGUAGAUGGGUUGUUAAGUCAGUUGUGAAAGUUUGGGGCUCAAACUUAAAAUUGCAAUUGAUACUGGCAGUCUUGAGUGCGGUUGAGGUAGGCGGAAUGCGUGGUGUAGCGGUGAAAUGCUUAGAUAUCACGAAGAACUCCGAUUGCGAAGGCAGCUUACUAGACUACCACUGACACUGAUGCGCGAAAGUGUGGGUAUCAAACAGGAUUAGAUACCCCUGUAGUC
This 460-nucleotide ribosomal RNA is filed under the name uncultured bacterium. RNAcentral describes it as "partial 16S ribosomal RNA". It matches the Rfam family "Bacterial small subunit ribosomal RNA", at positions 338 to 795 of the family's 1533-position model. The record is from RNAcentral.